Molecule: ribosomal RNA, 253 nt
Filed under: uncultured bacterium
Lineage: Bacteria
Description: partial 16S ribosomal RNA
Rfam family: Archaeal small subunit ribosomal RNA
Source: RNAcentral
UACCAGCACCCCGAGUGGUCGGGACGAUUAUUGGGCCUAAAGCAUCCGUAGCCGGUCCUGCAAGUCUUCCGUUAAAUCCAGCUGCUCAACAGAUGGGCUGCGGAGGAUACUACAGGGCUAGGAGGCGGGAGAGGCAAGCGGUACUUUAUGGGUAGGGGUAAAAUCCGUUGAUCCAUAGAAGACCACCAGUGGCGGAGGCGGCUUGCCAGAACGCGCUCGACGGUGAGGGAUGAAAGCUGGGGGAGCAAACCGG